Molecule: ribosomal RNA, 412 nt
Filed under: uncultured bacterium
Lineage: Bacteria
Description: bacterial SSU rRNA
Rfam family: Bacterial small subunit ribosomal RNA
Source: RNAcentral
UGAGGAAUAUUGGGCAAUGCCCGCAAGGGUGACCCAGCAACGCCGCGUGGAGGAUGAAUGUCGUAAGAUUGUAAACUCCUGUUAGAGGGGAAGAAUAGUACCGGUUGGACCGGUAUAUGACUGUACCCUCAGAGAAAGCCCCGGCUAACUACGUGCCAGCAGCCGCGGUAAUACGUAGGGGGCAAGCGUUGUCCGGAUUUACUGGGUGUAAAGGGUGCGCAGGCGGAUGGGUAAGUCAGGGGUGAAAGUCUGCAGCUUAACUGUAGAAUUGACUUUGGUACUGCACGUCUUGAGUGUGGGAUAGGUUGAUGGAAUUCCUGGUGUAGCAGUGAAAUGCGUAGAUAUCUGGAAGAACACCAGUGGCGGAGGCGAUCAACUGGCCCAUAACUGACGCUCAUGCACGAAAGCGUGG